AGGAGGACUUGUGGGCGUGGCAUUGCCGAAUAACCACGACCACAUGUUCUUCUACUCU
RNAcentral lists this microRNA precursor (58 nucleotides) under Tribolium castaneum (red flour beetle). RNAcentral describes it as "microRNA tca-mir-6016b precursor". The record is from miRBase by way of RNAcentral. Lineage: Eukaryota; Metazoa; Arthropoda; Insecta; Coleoptera; Tenebrionidae.